RNAcentral lists this unclassified non-coding RNA (208 nucleotides) under uncultured Sporothrix. RNAcentral's name for it is "sequence contains ITS2". Lineage: Eukaryota; Fungi; Ascomycota; Sordariomycetes; Ophiostomatales; Ophiostomataceae. The record is from RNAcentral.
CCACCCUCAGCGCGCCCCCGGGCGCCGCUGGCGUUGGGGCUCCUCCGGCGAGGAGGGCCCCUAAAGCGAGUGGCGGGCCCGGCUGGUUGGCUCCGAGCGCAGUACUGAGCACACGCUCUUCCCCUCGCUCGCGGCCCCGGCCGGCGCCCUGCCGUCAACGCGCACUUUGACGUGCAGCGGCCCUCGGCCGCUCCAAUCUUCUCUGCAA